Conger conger (European conger) is the source of this 3645-nucleotide long non-coding RNA. RefSeq lists it as uncharacterized. The record is from RefSeq and is a predicted model, not a curated record. The transcript has 2 exons. Lineage: Eukaryota; Metazoa; Chordata; Actinopteri; Anguilliformes; Congridae.
ACAGAGACAACAAGCCUAUUCAGCAACAUCCUCAUCUAAUAAAGACCAGCCUCCCUCACGCCAUUGGGAGAGACGCCGGUUCUCGCCCUGACUCCAGAAAGCCCUCUUCCCCUCCGCAGCCCCUCGGAUGCCGUGUGCAGUGCACCUCUCCCUCUCCUGCCAGGGCUACAGCAGCUGUGUCUCAGGUCCUUCCAGCACCUUCCGGCACCAGAGGCUCACGGGACGUCCUGCAAAUUCAGAUGGAGCCUCGCACAGAGAUCCCAGGGGGAACGUGAAGAGAGGGGCUCGUCUCUAAGGCGCCCGAGACGCUCCUGCAGCAGCGGAGGAACGAGCAGGGGGAGGGAGGCUGACAACCCAGAGGAGAGAAAGUGGAGCAUUGUUCUAAUAAAGCUCCUGUGACUCUUAUUACUCAGGAUUUAAUAACAGCAGGACUGGCCCUCUGCCAAGACCCAAAUCUCAUUCCGCGUUCAUUUUGAGAGCGGCCAGUGCGCCUCCGCCUGUAAGAAUCGAACGCGACUGAUGCAAGGGCUUGUGGUACAUGCUGCGAGAGCACUGGUAAAGGGGGGAAGCCUGUGAAUCACCAAUCAAGGUCAGGUGGCCUGGGCCAGGGGCGACCCGGUAGGGGUUCGUCUACCGCCGUUUUUUAACCAACAGGAAGGAAGGACAAAACCGUGACGUGUAUAUUAUUUCGUCCUCUGAGAUUGCCUUUAUCGGGCGGCUUAUUGCUUCACGGACUGAUCCCUGAAAAACAUCUCAAUGAGGCUGAAAAUACAAGGUGGCUCUUUGCCCGUAUCCUUGGCAACCAACGGCACCCGGACGGGAGUGAGUGGUCUGGCCGAGGUGGCGGUCCCCAGACACCAGGAGGACUCCUCCUCGUCCAUCAUUGCCCUGAUGGUGGUGGUAGCGCUAGGCUGCGCGGUGAUUGUGGCCUCGCUGGUGACUUUCCACUGCCAUCGGUGGCAGCUCCACAGCAGGAAACUCAGGAGAGCCCAGGCGGAGUACGAGAGUGACCGCAGCAGGGGCGCAGAGAGAGGAGCCCCGGGAUCCGCGCUGAGCACUUGAGCACAUCUCUCUCCGGGGUGGGUCCGAAUGUAAAUAAGGAAUGCACUUCCUGUUAGCUGUCAGAUGUCUCAAAGAAUGCAGGGACACAACAAAAUGGAUGACUAUUCAUCCUGGAUAUUGACACUUGUCCAAGGUCCAAGGAACACCUAUUUUUUGAACCAGUAAUGCAUAAAAAGAAAAAACAUAAAUGAAUCAAUAUAGCUCAGCUCAUUGAAGAGGGUUUUAUUUAGCUUCAACAAUAGUGUGUGGUUGUUUUUUGCUUUGGGGUGAGUUCAAAAAUGAAAAAUAUUUUAUAUUACUGAAAUAUUGAAAUCCAUGUUUAAAGCCACUUUCCAAAACAUUGCUCAAAAAUGUCUUUCUUUUUGAAAAACAUAUACUUAUUGAACAUUGUCCAUUACAACCAGACACAUACAGAAUGUAAGGUUUAAGAUAUUCCUCCAGCACCUCAAUCCCAUCCCAUCAAUCGAGAAAAGGUGAAAGUCACUUUCCAUACAGUAUAUCAGUUUAAGCAGCAAUCAGUUCAAAUAGAACAAAAUAUUGAUAUUUAUAUAUUAUAUGGCUAUUAAAAGAAUAAAAGCAUAGCUUUGUGUCUUUAAGCAGUGUAUGCGUAAAUAAUGGCUCAUAAAUAAUAUCAGUAUCAAUAGUUUUCUGCAGGAUUUGUAGCCUCUUCUUCAGAGAAAAACUGCAACUUAUGUAUUUUUCUUCAUUUACUUGUCCAUUAACAAGCAUUGCUGAUGGAAGUAACUUAUAAAAUAUUCAGACUUGUUCCUGCUAUGUACUCAGGAGAAGAAUGUCCUUGUCUAAAUCAUCCGUUAUGAUUAGAAAGUCGGAAAAGUGAUCAGAAAACAGCUGUGAGACAUUUGCUUAUUGUAAAGCACAGCUACAAUGGACUCACUGAACUGUGGAUACAGCUUAUACCAUGUCAAUAAGAUGAAUCCUGGCACUUCACCUUUCAUCCCAGUCAUUACCAUCAUGUAUUAUCAGUGGACUUUCCUUAUCUUUUCCUUUUCCUCAUAUAUAUGUAUUGUAGAACAGCUAAAGUAUGUGCUCUUCUCUCAUACACACAUCUGCAAGAUUGUGACCAGGUCCCACACAAUCAGCCAAACAGCAUACUACUGGAUAGCUAGCGCCCAUUUGAUGAGGCACACAUUUCGCUAAAACUGUUUCCAGUCACUGCAGUCUCCUGGUCACAAUUGGUUAAUAGCUUAGAUUCAAGCAAGCCGUGGUUAGGCUAUGGGACUAAGCCCACGUUUGUUUGCGCCUUUACCACUCACUGUACCAGUUGGCCAAGGUGCUCUGAUAUGUUUUAUAGGUGUUAAUAAAGUAGACAACAAAGUAGACUUGGACCGGCAGCCCACUGUAAUACAAAAAAACUGACUAUGAGCCGCACUUCACACACACGCAUACAGAAGAAUAGGGUCACCUUUUCUAUAAACAACACCUUCAUAUAGCACACAUAGCACCUUCCUGAGUAUGAGAUGACUGAUGUUUGAGAACAGUAACAUGGCGUGUUACAUACAGAACCAAACAGGGAAAUAUAAGUCUACUGGGUGUCAUGAAACACAUCUGCUUUUAUCUGGUUUGUAAGAACAGGCUCAUGAAGGUUUUAUGUAUACAUUAUCGAGGUAGUGACCAAAUAAAAUGAUAGUACUGUUAGAUUUUAGCUUCUGUAUACCGUGUGUCAAUUUUGUAUGGGAAACAAUCAACACAAAAGCAGAAAUACACAUCCAAAAUAGUACUUAAUUUGUGGGGAUGUUUUGUGAACAAUGCAUAAUAUACUUAUAUAGUAGACAGUAUUUGGAAUUCUUCCCUUGUAGGUAAGAAGUAGACAGUAUUCGUAAUCCUUUCCUUGUACUGAUUUUUAUGUUACUUUUGACACUAAUAUGUGAAUUGUAUAUACUACUUACUUGCCAUUUUGCUGUUAUAAAAGAUGCACUUUUCCUCAGUUUCGUCCUAAUUCCCUAAAAAAAACUACCCUGCGUGCUGAAAAUGGACAAUAUAAUUCAUUUCUGCCCAUUUACUGAUGGUUACUCAUACUUACAACCAGGACAAAUAUAAUUAUGUUUUUAUAUGUAUGCUUCUAAAAAUGUACUGCCUUUCUGUUCUGAGCAGAAAGGUAAAAGCAGGCCCUGUUUUUCAUUAGCUUCUCCACAAAUUAAUGUUGAGGAAGUGCUGCAUCUUUCCCCACAUGUUUAUUAAUGGUAUUUUUAUGGUUUUAUGGGGUAAUAAACUUAAAGAUGUGCCACAUCCCUCCUUUCCAGUUGAUUUUGUUAAAAGAAUAGCAAACAGGCUUUCCAAGUAUGGAUGAAAUUAUCAUUUAGCAAAAUGUUAAUGGUUUAUUCACUAACGGAAAUGUAACAUUUAUUACUGCCGUUUAGAGUAUAAUAGUAUUCAGAGAGUUUGAUUUAUUUUCGGCUUUACUGAUGUUUGUUUCCAUUAUAAGUCAACAGCACUGGCAAUUUACCGAAGGGCGCAUAAUCAUAAUUAUGUCCUUCUGUAUGCCUCUUUUAAACUGCUAAUGCUGAACUAUUGAAGUGCUACAGCUUUAAAUGUGUUAAGACAAUAAAAGCACCAAAUAUCACA